Molecule: long non-coding RNA, 4259 nt
Organism: Mya arenaria
Lineage: Eukaryota; Metazoa; Mollusca; Bivalvia; Myida; Myidae
Exons: 3
Source: RefSeq, a predicted model, not a curated record
UCAGAACUGUGUGUGCUGUAAGGGAGGAGUGGAUCGAUGUGUAACAGGAUUUGGACACAAUUAUUGUUUAGAUGGCUGUGUUGAUGGAAUAUAUGGCUACAGAUGUCAUAACACCUGUCCCGGUAACUGUUAUUCGUGUGCACUAGAGACAGGCAGGCCAUGUUACAGCUGCAAGGCUACAUUUUAUGAUACAAACAGUCUGUGUAGCAAGAGCUGUUCAGUCGGGUGUGAUGGGGGAGUCUGUAAUGAUGAUGGAACAUGUAAUACAUGUACAGCAAACUUCGAAGGAUCAAAAUGUGAGACGUGCAUACAAGGAAAGUAUGGUUCACUUUGUACACUAAAUUGUAUUCACCAGAACUGCCGAUGUUCGACUGGAACUGAUUGUACCUCUUGUAAAACGGGGUUCUACGGUAGAAGUACCUUCUGUCAAACACCUUGUUCCCCGGGUUGUCUAGAUGGCGUUUGUAAUUACGACGGUAGUUGCAAAUGUCAAGCUCGGUUUUUGGGUAACACAUGCAGUGAAUGUCAGUCAGGAUAUUAUGGGGCAUACUGCAAUGUGUCCUGUUCCGAAGGAUGUAAAAACGGACUGUGCUUAAAAGAUGGCACUUGUACAUGUAGCCCAAACUUCGUAGCAGCGAAAUGUGAUACGUGUGUGGAUGGAAGAUACGGGGUAAGCUGUAGAGAGAUUUGCAGCGUAGGAUGUACCACAUCGUCCUGUGACAGAAAAAAAUGGCUUUUGUAAAUGUCUUCCUUACUUUAGUGGAGCUAGAUGCGACCAAUGUAAAUUAGGAUUUUACGAACAAUUAUGUAAUUUUCCUUGCUCUGAUAAUUGCAAAGAACGCACAUGCUCACGAUACCAGGGGAACUGCACACAUGGUUAUGUUGAUGGAUAUUCGGGUCAAAAUUGCACAACCCCUUGUGACAACACAUGCGAAACAUGUCUACAAAAUGAUAAAUCAAACUGCGUGUCAUGCUACAAUGGAUACAAUGGAUCAACAUGUCAAUGUCCACCAAAUUGCAAAUGUGACUCUGCGCCUGAUGUAUGCACUACAUGUGCAGAUGGGUAUGCUAAUCCUAAAAAGAAAUGCAAGUGUCAGACUCAAUAUUGUACCGGAUCCGUGUGUGAUAAAUGUAUUAACCAAACAUAUUAUGUUGAUAACAAUGCGUGCUGCGAAUGUCCGGAGAAUUGUAAAGAUGGUACGUGCAUAGAUGGACCUAGAUGUAUUUCUGGUUGCAUUGACGGUUUUUACGGUUUUGAUUGUUCUCAACGUUGUUUGUCCCUGAGUGCUGAUUGUUUAAGAUGUUAUCAGACGAAUGGAAUGUGUCUGGAAUGUAACGACGGUGUAUAUCCCCAUGACAACGGAAGCUGCAUAAGUUGCAGUAGGAGUUGUCUGAAUAAUCAGUGCGAUUCUGAGACUGGCGCAUGUAUCAAUGGUUGCACAGAAAGAUUUUGGGGGGACAAGUGUGAUAUUCUGUGUGGUGCAAACUGUGAAACUUGUCAGCGAGAUUCGGGAAUCUGCUUGUCUUGUACAGACACGACUUACCAUGGUCUUUCUUGCAACGAAUCAUGUAGCUACUCCUGUUUUGAAAGCAAGUGCGAACUAAAGACUGGUUAUUGUUCCAAUGGGUGCUCCAGAGAUUCCUUUGGAAGUAUAUGUGAUAUUAAAUGCCCUUAAAAAUUGUCAGCAAGGGGACACAGACUCAAGUUGUAAUAUUGAUGGUGAAUGUUUAUAUGGCUGCAUCGAUGACCUUGAAGGCAGAGAUUGUUCAGAACGAAGAAUUUACAUUGGUUCUUCCACAAUAAGUGCUCUCGCAGCUUUAUCUGCAGUUUUGGGCAUAAUGCUUAUUUGUACCGCUGCUGGUUGCUACUUGUGGAACAGACGAAGAUCUAUACCAACAGAACAGGGCGAUCAGCGUGAAACGGAGAUGACCUAUGAACAGCUACAAGGACAGACUAACGAACUAACAAACACGAACGACGAAAAUUAUUCCGUGCUUUCAGUGUAGAAGAUUUUACAUAAGUGUAUGGGUAUUACGAGAUUGUUCAUUUUUAUACUGAACCUAGAACACAGUCAGGUUUUUUUUUAUCUGUUUCUAGUAGUAGUUAUGUAUAUUUUAACGUUUCCAGUAUACAUGUUACAUUGUUUGUUAUGUGCGAUUGUUAGUGGUUACCUCAUCACGUUAACAUGCUAUUAGAAACAUAUGAGGUUGUUGGACUAAUCCAGUAAAAUACCAUAUUUCCCUUUCUGAUAGAAUUGAUCUUAAAUUGAAGACGUAUAUCCAAACACACAAAAAAAUCCAAUCAUAUACUUGUGGCUCUGAAGGUUGUGCAUCCAACGCAAGACCACCGCAAAGUUCUAUAGAACUGUCUAACAGUGAUCGUUCGAUCGCUAUAUAUUGACAUUUUCGGUAAGCAGUGCUAAAACCAACCACAUUAUGAUAUAAAUACAACCAGUCCAUAGGAACUGGUCAUCGCAAUAAAAGAAAUAACCAUAUUUUUAAUGCCUGCAAAUCAGUAUCGAAAAGUCGCUUAGCGAGAGAACGAAAACUGUCAAUUUCCCCAUUUUGUUUGUUUCAUAAUUUGCUAUGUAAACUAUUUAAAUAAAUCCUAACUAGCUUCACUAUCGUUAGAUAAAGUGUAAUGAACGAAAAAUAAAUUUACCAAAUUAUUGUGUGAGGGGGGUCUUUAUUGCUUUUAAUCAAUAAUUCAAUAUGUUUCGACUUUCGUACGAAAACAAAAAUGCUGUAUUCUCGCUCAAAACACAAAGUAUCCUAUCCUAAGUCUUUUAAAUAUAUGACUUUUAAAAUACAGUGUACCUUUUCACUUAUAACUUCUUGGAAGUUACGUAUGUAGUGUAUUACUUUAUAUAUUUUUAUUUAUUUAUUACCACCGUACAGUUUGUGAUUAAACAUAUUAAGAAUACAAAACACAUAUAGCUUUACGUAACAGUUCCGACUUGAAACAAUUAGGUAAACAUCUUAUAUACAAAUGCUUAUAAUGAUUUAAAUGCUAUUUAUUUUCUCGGAUAUUGUAUUCAUUCCGUUUGGUUUAAAUGAACAUUAUGAGUAUGGUUCACCUUUUUUAUAUUAUAAUAUUUACUUGUUAUAUUAUAACAGUAUUGGAAGUUUCGUUUAAGCUAGUUCUUAUAGAUUUGUUUCAUUUCAUAUACAAUAGAUGGUUAUAUAGUGGCAUACGCUUAAUUAUUGUUAUAAGUUUAGUUUUAAAAUUGAAAUGUUCGAGAAAUCCAGUUCACAUUAUGACAUGACUGUGUGCUUAUAUUUAUAUUUGUCUUCAAAUGGACAUCAUAUCUAAUACUUUGAGUACUUUGUUUCAUUUUUAUUUUGUUUCUCAUUUGGUUUUCAUUUUUGUUUAUUCAUAGUGAUUUUAUUUCGUAGCAAAAUAGUUAUUAUAUAUGAUUGUUGAAUUCGUUGAUAUACAAUCAUCCUCUGCAUUUGUUUAACCAAGUUUUAAAACUAAUCUUAUUUGAUUCAGGUAAAAAAAAUACAAGAGCAUAUACAUAUUUGGUUAUUUCUAAGGCUCCAUAUUGUUUCAUAUUGUAUAGGCUGUCCGAUGUAAGAAGUAACAGACAUUUAUAUAACUAUCAUUAAAGAGCAAUUAUGUUGCUAUCGUGUAACUAAAUAUCAACACACCAAAUUGAUGGUCAGGUUAAAAGUGAUUACACAACGUUCGUUACUAUGUGUAUUACUCACUGACGUUGUCAGGUUUAUAGUGAUUACACAAACGUUCGUUACUAUAAAACAGUUAUCAACAAUAAAACAGUGAUGAAUCAACUGAUAGACAAAACCAGGUAAUAUUUAUUUUCUUAACUUAUGUUGCUGUGUAUGCUUAUUCGAUAUUAACUCAUUUUUAUAUUGAUUUGUUUAAUUAUAAAAUAUAAAUAUAUAAUCAUUGAAUCACCCGAAAACACUAUAUCUUAUAUAGAUUUGUUCACAUGCGACAUGGCCUUUUUAAAUAAUUUGAAAAUAAGCUUAUCUAUCACUGCAUUAAAUUUGUUACCCUUUUGUACAUUCACAUUGCAAAUAACGUCUGCAUCACUUUAAAUACGUUCAUCUCACAAAUGUAUUGAAACAUGAUUUAAAUCAACUAUAUCCUUGUAUUAAUAUCAACAGAUUUGUAUAAGCAACAAACAAGUAGAAUGUACAAACACGAUUCAAUGUUCAUUACUUGUUUGACUUUAUAAAGAAUAAUGCAAAGUUUUAAUUAUGAAGUGAACAUUUGUAAAAGUAGUUAUGUGUUU